GCUGACUCUGCUCUCACAAGGACAGCAGCAUCCUGAGGAGAAGGAUGAGUGACACUGCCCUCCCUGACUCUGCCUGGGGCCCCACCCUGCUCUGCUGUGUCACUGUCUUUCUCCUGGGGACAGGUUCAGCAAAUCCCGGGGUCAUCCAGUCUCCAAGACAUCUAAUCAAAGCCAAGGGAGGAAGGUCCACUCUGAAAUGCAUUCCCAUCUCUGGACAUGACAGAGUGGCCUGGUACCAGCAGACUCUGGGGCAAGAACUGAAGUUCCUCAUUCAGCAUUAUGAAAAAAUGGAGAGAGAGAAAGGAAACAUCCCCAGCCGGUUCUCAGUGCAGCAGCUCAGUGACUAUCACUCUGAGAUGAACAUGAGCGCCUUGCAGCUGGAGGAUUCUGCUGUGUAUUUCUGUGCUAGCUCAUCACAGCCUUACAGAGUGACUGGCUUUCUGUCUCCAAUCUUCCUGCUCCUACUGACGUUGUACUGUAGAGGUGUCUUCAGAAAACACACAGCCGUAGCUAAGGCCUAGAAAUACUUAUAGAUUUGUACCUAUCCCCUGAGUGCCUAUCUGAGAUCACACGGAGAUUUCUAACACUGGGUCCGGCCCCAAGACUCUUAUCUCUGCUAGCACCUUUCAGCUCUCAGUCAGUUUUAGAAAAGGCUACUCUGUGUUCGGGUGUGGCCAUAGGCAAAAUAUUUUAAGACAAGGAUAGACAUUAACAUAUCUAUUUUUAAGAUUAAGAUGUCUUUACAUCACUUCAAUAGGAAUCAGUAGCUUAUUAAAUUUCCUAACAUUUCAUGUUUAAGGAUAUUAACAUAAGGAAUGAAACCUACAUUUCUUUGCCUCUAAGUCAAUGUUCUGAAUUUCUUUGGUGUUUCCCAGUUUUGGUCCAAAAAAUAUAGCAGCUCACUUUCUCUUGUGUUAUAAAGACUAGCUGAGGUUAGUUUGUACAUGUAUGUGGUGCUAACAGGUUAUAGAUGUAUAAUACUAAGUCAGAUAAUGUUUGUAUUUUAUAGUUUCAAGAUGGGGUUAAUUUUCAACAAAAAUUUUGUUAAUCAAUAAUCAAGCUCUGGAGACGGCUUCCCCCCUCAGACAGCUGUGUACUUCUGUGCCAGCAGUGAAACAUGGCAAUGUGUGGCUGCCUCCCAUCUGCAUAUAAAAUAAAUUAGGAAAUCCA
Molecule: non-coding RNA, 1170 nt
Organism: Mesocricetus auratus (golden hamster)
Lineage: Eukaryota; Metazoa; Chordata; Mammalia; Rodentia; Cricetidae
Source: the annotation of a RefSeq genome assembly